GACGUAGGGGGCGAGCGUUGUCCGGAUUUACUGGGCGUAAAGAGCGCGUAGGCGGCUUGUUAAGUGUGAAGUGAAAUCUCCAGAGCUCAACUCGGAAACUGCUUCGCAUACUGGCAAGCUAGAGGAAUGCAGAGGUAAGUGGAAUUCCAGGUGUAGCGGUGAAAUGCGUAGAUAUCUGGAGGAACACCCAUGGCGAAGGCAGCUUACUGGGCAUUAUCUGACGCUGAGGCGCGAAAGCGUGGGUAGCAAACAGG
This 254-nucleotide ribosomal RNA is filed under the name uncultured bacterium. RNAcentral's name for it is "partial 16S ribosomal RNA". It matches the Rfam family "Bacterial small subunit ribosomal RNA", at positions 524 to 776 of the family's 1533-position model. The record is from RNAcentral.